RNAcentral lists this ribosomal RNA (492 nucleotides) under uncultured bacterium. RNAcentral describes it as "partial 16S ribosomal RNA". It matches the Rfam family "Bacterial small subunit ribosomal RNA", at positions 29 to 507 of the family's 1533-position model. The record is from RNAcentral.
AGUGAACGCUCUCUUUCUUCCUAACACAUGCAAGUCGAACGGCAGCACAGUAAGAGCUUGCUCUUACGGGUGGCGAGUGGCGGACGGGUGAGGAAUACAUCGGAAUCUACUUUUUCGUGGGGGAUAACGUAGGGAAACUUACGCUAAUACCGCAUACGACCUACGGGUGAAAGCAGGGGAUCUUCGGACCUUGCGCGACUGAAUGAGCCGAUGUCGGAUUAGCUAGUUGGCGGGGCAAAGGCCCACCAAGGCGACGAUCUGUAUCUGGUCUGAGAGGAUGAUCAGCCACACUGGAACUAAGACACGGUCCUGACUCCUACGGGAGACAGCAGUGGGGAAUAUUAGACAAUGGGCGCAAGCCUGAUCCAGCCAUACCGCGUGGGUGAAGAAGGCCUUCGGGUUGUAAAGGACUUGUGUUGGGAAAGAAAAGCAGCAGGUUAAUACCCCGCUGUUCUGACGGUACCCAAAGAAUAAGCAAAGGCUAAAUUCGGG